Molecule: small RNA, 83 nt
Filed under: Marmota monax (woodchuck)
Lineage: Eukaryota; Metazoa; Chordata; Mammalia; Rodentia; Sciuridae
Source: RNAcentral
GCUGGGCAUGGUGACACAUGCCUGUAAUCCUCUCAACUUGGGAGGCUGAGGCAGGAGGAUCACAAGUUCAAAGCCAGCCUCAG